GAUGAACGCUGGCGGCGUGCCUAAUACAUGCAAGUCGAGCGAACAGACGAGGAGCUUGCUCCUCUGACGUUAGCGGCGGACGGGUGAGUAACACGUGGAUAACCUACCUAUAAGACUGGGAUAACUUCGGGAAACCGGAGCUAAUACCGGAUAAUAUAUUGAACCGCAUGGUUCAAUAGUGAAAGACGGUUUUGCUGUCACUUAUAGAUGGAUCCGCGCCGCAUUAGCUAGUUGGUAAGGUAACGGCUUACCAAGGCAACGAUGCGUAGCCGACCUGAGAGGGUGAUCGGCCACACUGGAACUGAGACACGGUCCAGACUCCUACGGGAGGCAGCAGUAGGGAAUCUUCCGCAAAGGGCGAAAGCCUGACGGAGCAACGCCGCGUGAGUGAUGAAGGUCUUCGGAUCGUAAAACUCUGUUAUUAGGGAAGAACAAAUGUGUAAGUAACGAUGCACGUCUUGACGGUACCUAAUCAGAAAGCCACGGCUAACUACGUG
This 497-nucleotide ribosomal RNA is filed under the name uncultured bacterium. RNAcentral's name for it is "partial 16S ribosomal RNA". It matches the Rfam family "Bacterial small subunit ribosomal RNA", at positions 28 to 507 of the family's 1533-position model. The record is from RNAcentral.